This 253-nucleotide ribosomal RNA is filed under the name uncultured bacterium. RNAcentral describes it as "partial 16S ribosomal RNA". It matches the Rfam family "Bacterial small subunit ribosomal RNA", at positions 524 to 776 of the family's 1533-position model. The record is from RNAcentral.
UACGUAGGGUGCAAGCGUUAAUCGGAAUUACUGGGCGUAAAGCGUGCGCAGGCGGCUUUGCAAGACAGAUGUGAAAUCCCCGGGCUUAACCUGGGAACUGCAUUUAUGACUGCAUGGCUGGAGUGCGGCAGAGGGGGAUGGAAUUCCGCGUGUAGCAGUGAAAUGCGUAGAUAUGCGGAGGAACACCGAUGGCGAAGGCAAUCCCCUGGGCCUGCACUGACGCUCAUGCACGAAAGCGUGGGGAGCAAACAGG